Molecule: ribosomal RNA, 474 nt
Filed under: Fusarium oxysporum
Lineage: Eukaryota; Fungi; Ascomycota; Sordariomycetes; Hypocreales; Nectriaceae
Description: eukaryotic LSU rRNA
Rfam family: 5.8S ribosomal RNA (bases 129-282)
Source: RNAcentral
CCCCUGUGAACAUACCACUUGUUGCCUCGGCGGAUCAGCCCGCUCCCGGUAAAACGGGACGGCCCGCCAGAGGACCCCUAAACUCUGUUUCUAUAUGUAACUUCUGAGUAAAACCAUAAAUAAAUCAAAACUUUCAACAACGGAUCUCUUGGUUCUGGCAUCGAUGAAGAACGCAGCAAAAUGCGAUAAGUAAUGUGAAUUGCAGAAUUCAGUGAAUCAUCGAAUCUUUGAACGCACAUUGCGCCCGCCAGUAUUCUGGCGGGCAUGCCUGUUCGAGCGUCAUUUCAACCCUCAAGCACAGCUUGGUGUUGGGACUCGCGUUAAUUCGCGUUCCUCAAAUUGAUUGGCGGUCACGUCGAGCUUCCAUAGCGUAGUAGUAAAACCCUCGUUACUGGUAAUCGUCGCGGCCACGCCGUUAAACCCCAACUUCUGAAUGUUGACCUCGGAUCAGGUAGGAAUACCCGCUGAACUUAA